GCCAGGGAUAGCUCAGUUGGCAGAGCAUGAGACUCUUAAUCUCAGGGUCAUGAGUUUGAGCCCCAUGUUGGGCA
Molecule: transfer RNA, 74 nt
Filed under: Podarcis lilfordi (Lilford's wall lizard)
Lineage: Eukaryota; Metazoa; Chordata; Lepidosauria; Squamata; Lacertidae
Description: tRNA.Lys
Rfam family: tRNA (bases 9-66)
About the family: Transfer RNA (tRNA) molecules are approximately 80 nucleotides in length. Their secondary structure includes four short double-helical elements and three loops (D, anti-codon, and T loops). Further hydrogen bonds mediate the characteristic L-shaped molecular structure. tRNAs have two regions of fundamental functional importance: the anti-codon, which is responsible for specific mRNA codon recognition, and the 3' end, to which the tRNAs corresponding amino acid is attached (by aminoacyl-tRNA synthetases). tRNAs cope with the degeneracy of the genetic code in two manners: having more than one tRNA (with a specific anti-codon) for a particular amino acid; and 'wobble' base-pairing, i.e. permitting non-standard base-pairing at the 3rd anti-codon position.
Source: RNAcentral